UUGACCAGCUUUGCUUUGGAAGGCCAAGUCUCACGGGGAUGUCCACUCAUUCAUCGUGAUGGCACCAGUGACGACUCUCGAACUUAGGAGCAGAAAAAGAAGGAAUGGCCAUGUGACUUAUGUCCAUGGAAAACCUGUUCUUGAGCGUUUUUCCAGACUGUGAUUGGCUGUGGAUAACAAACUGCGGAAUGCGAAACUGUUGAUAAGGGUGGACUACUGUAACUCUGGACAAUUUCCUCAACUCUGCCCAAUAUCAAAGGAAGGCUCUUGUAAGCAUUUCUAUAAAUUGCAAAAGCAGGCUCCAAGCAUUGUCAGUGAUGUGCUACAAAGAGGAACAACUAAGCUGACACAGAUAUGAAGGCAGCAAUGACACUGAACUGCCAGAAUAGUGAUCCUCAAAGGUGGACAGGUGUCACACCUGAAUCCCUGGGGGUCAGGACCAAUCAACUUCCCCGCCUACCCCAACCGUGGCCACUCUUUCUAGUCAUAGUUUAUCUUAUGCCUCAGGGGCAGUAAUGGGGUUAAGAAAUGGUAGAAAGUAUGUACCCAAAUUCUCAAUCACAUUUGAUUGUUCACUAGAACUUUUUCUAAGAAGACUAAAUGGUGAGAACGGGGGGAUGGCCCUCCAGGAAAAUUCAGGUAGGUGUCAUAAUAUUUAAUGAAAGAGGCAUUUCCUUUUUUAAUCCUUUGUAGGGUCAGAAAAGAAAAAAAUUCAAGAUAUGCAAAGGAAGCCAGAUCAAAAUCCCCUUGGCCAUGGAUACUGGUGCCCUACAUCAGCACCCUUCAAGAGUGUGGAUGAGGCUGAGUAGGUGGGAACCUGCAUCCCUUGAAAGAAGCAGGCAAGGACAGGGUAGUGACAAGUGCUGGUCACUUGUGAGGGCUGCCUCCCCAUCCAGUUCCCUCUGCAGCCAGGAGCAGGAGUUGUUUCUGGCUCAAGCCAGCCCCCAUGGCCGCCAUUCCCUUAUAUGACCCUGCUUCGCAGGGUAACGUACCAGACAGUUUCACGCUCGUUAUCCUUGCAACGGAUUACUCGGUGAGGAGCAUCAGAGAACUGAAAAGACAGACUGACUUCGACUUGAAUCCUGGCUCUUCCUCUUACUAGUUUCAUGGCCUUGGCUGGACUGUGAGCUUCCUGCAGAAAGAGAGCAAACCUUACAGCUUCGUAUUCCUUAAACUGUAACCAGCACAUAGUAUAUAACCAGUGAAAGUUCGUCAUAUCCCCCUGGCUCCUCUGCUGACUGAAUGCACAAGUGAAUGAACAAAGGGGAUGGUGGUGGGGAGAAAUGAAACUAGAGAUCUUCAGUUAACCAAAGGGAAUGUUCCAACAGAGCCCACUUUUCUUGUUUUGACUGGUUCGGCAAGUAAGACAUCAGACUUACCGGAUAUUGUUCAGAGCACUGUUGACUAACUUGUUGACAAGGGAUGUCUGGGCUGCAUUAUAGCCAGACAGGGAAGGCUGUUCAAGUUUCAAUACUAGGUUCCUGAGUUAGGAGUGACUAAGCAGCAGCCGCCCCAUACUGCCAAGCUACCGUGUGGUUUCACACCAUCUGUCACUUGCUGAAGAGGACGGAGUCCCCCCUAGAACUUCCCUUAUUUCACUACCACCUACUGCAGCUGGGUCUGCAGUUUGUAGGCAGGAGAUGUGGGGGUCAAACUAUACUUCAUUUGUGCCCAAUUUUCAAUUGCUAUCUAGACUCUUUUCCUCUCUGGACUUUAACCUUUGCUAUAAAAUUUCCCUAGAGCUUCAAAAUUGUACCCCGAAGUGCCCCUGACUAACAUCAAGCAUAUAUGAAGAUAAUGUCUCAGUACUCUAUUUACAGAUGGAAAAAUGAGUUAUUCCACUGAAGCCAGGAAAAUCCAUGCUGGCACCCUAGCAGUCCAUCAGAAAGUCGUUAUUUCUCCACUGUCAGAGAUCCUGUCCUGAAUAUGCAGCCUAGCACAGCAUGUUAUGGAGCUGCCUCUGGGAUCAAGGGAAAGGAGAACUCAGUACCCUGAGGUGCACAAAAGGCACUGCACAAGAAGGCCCACAUUGACGUGCAGAAGGAAGUGAAGAGGAAGGAGUGAUACAUUCUGAAAUGGUUGAAGAGCCGAAAAAAGGCAAAGCAUUGAGGAAAGUGAGAACUGAGGAAAAGGGCACUGGAUUUGAUGACUCACUACUCUCCUUUAGUGAACUUUAAUAGAAGAGUUUCAGUAGAGUAAUAGAAACCAAAAUUGCAACCAGUUCAACGAGUAGGAGGCAAAGAAAUGCCAGUGAACAUAGAUUAUGCUUGAAAUGAAUGCAAGAGAUGAGACAGCUGACUUCAGAAAGCAGCGGAUUCAACAGAAGAUUGUUUAAUUGGCUGACAAUUUUUAUGAUAAGAAAGACCAGAAAAGGUCUAUAGGCUAAUGGGGGAGAGGAUAGUGGGAAAAGAUUGUAGAGGUUUGGGAGGUUUUUGUCCUCAGAUAGGAGGAAAGAGAGAAGGUACAUGGCACCUAAUACAUACUCAAUACGUAUUUGUUGAAUUAAAAAGGAUCUAGUUUGGAGGAUGCUAACUCUUAUGGGGAGUAAUAGUAUAAUAAUUAAGUCAAAUCUUAGCAAGAGGUGGUUCCUGGAAGAACUCAGGUCUCAUUUGAAGGGAUCCCAAGAUCCCUUGAGCCAGGCACUUCUCCCCAUGCAGGAAUAUAGAGCCAUUGAUACCAGAGAUUCUGAUGGCAAAAAGCUGGAUUUUUGUGGGAGAUUUCUUUAUUUUUAAACUUUGACAACUGUUUUAAACAACGUUAAUCCAACAAAAUAGCCAAUAUUCAGUCAAUUGGCAACCACUUGGUAACUUGUAUUUUAGCACAUAUUUCUCUAGAUCAUACUUGCUUGAAUGGCAUUUAACAGUUUUAUUGAUAUAUAAUUUACAAAUACAAUUCACCCAUUUAAAGUGUACAAUUCAACUGCUUUUAGAAAUUUCCAGAUAUGUGUAACCAUCACCACAGAGCAUUUAAAAAAUUUUCAUCACCUCAAAAAGAAACCUGGGGGUUCUUUAGCUAUCACUCCCCUAUUUCCUCACUCCCCCAACCCCAAGCAACCACUAACCUACGUUCUCUAUACAUUUGCUUAUUCUGUAUUUUAUUUGAAUGAAAUUGUGUAAAAUGUAGUCUUCUGUGACUGGCAUAUUUCACUUAGGGGAUAGGUUUUUUUUUGUUUUUGUUUUCAAGUAAAGAAGUGAGAAUGUGAAAAAUUUGGAGGGAUUUUAAUCUCAGUGAAAGGGAAGGCCAGGGGGUCUCAUCACAGGAGAAGAGGAGAGGAAAAGGGAGAGGGGAA
Molecule: long non-coding RNA, 3289 nt
Filed under: Homo sapiens (human)
Lineage: Eukaryota; Metazoa; Chordata; Mammalia; Primates; Hominidae
Description: HSALNT0074008
Source: RNAcentral